GCCGGGGCCGGAAAGGAAAGCCACGUCCAGAUAGGCACAGACAGGGAGACUAACAGGAGACACUGGGAGGGAGAACAUAGACACAAGGGGUAGGGAGGAGAACAGUAGACUCAUAACAUUUUGGGCCUCAGACAGCUUUUUAAAUGAAACCAUCUGAGAAGAGGAGUGAAGAAAUGUUUUGGUGGAACUGCUGAAAUCUCAGAGACAUCUGAAAUAUGACAAGGGGGGAUCCCUGGCAGGCAUCAAAUUUGACGUUGAGUGCUACUUCCCCUAAUGUCUCCGCCUCCAGUACAGCGCUGAUAAACAAGAUCUGCUGGAGCAAAUGAGCUGAAUCCAUCAACCUAUCAUUACCUAAGAGUGUCUUCCAAUGAGUUCACCAUCACCUUGUUGACCUUUAAAGUCCCCAGCUCCACUCUGAAGUGAAAACAUCAGUGCAUGGUUAUUUUAUAAAAAUGUAUUUGGAUGGAGGCAGUAAAUAAAACCCCAACCUUAAUUGCUAGAUACCAAGAAUGGGAUCUAGCAUGCUGGUGAGGAAGGCCAGUGUUCUGUGUCCUUUUUCUGUUACCAGAAUCUCCUGCUGGGUUACCUGCAGAGCUCCAGUCUUCACCAGCAGCUCCAGGACAAAGGAUGAACUCAUUGGAGAACACGUUUCUUAGAAAGCUGAAACUGUUGAAGACCUCCUCUGGAAGAAAAAAUAAUCAUUAACAAGCAGGAAACACCUGUGUAAUAGGUGGAUUGUUAGUGUAAAAAAGGGUGAGCUCAGCCAGUGUUGAAUUCCUUGACACAAAAAUCUGCUGCAUGUAUCGUGUGCCUUUGUGUUACACACACUUACACAUGAAAACCAUCUAUUAUGCAGUGGCUAUGAAAGGAAUUCAUCUAAUUGUCUAUGAAAAAAUGUUUUAUCAAGUACUAAGUUACGUUAGUAACUCACGCUUAUGCUCUCUCUGGGCUGUAUUGUUAAACAUAAUGAGAACAGGAAGAGGGUGACACAUUUAAACAGGUAAACAGAAAUGUCAGUCUUACGCUUGUUGUUAGAGGAGGCAGUGUGGAUGGCUGAUGCCAGCAGAGCAGGUCUGAGAAAGACAUGCAGUGCCUGGUUUCUGUAGGAGGCACAGGAGAGUAUGAUGACCGCCUGGCUCAGGAGCUCCUCUUCUGGAGUGAUGAUGCUGUGAGCGCCCCCUGGCCCCACUUGUCCUCCUGCUUCAAAACAAAGCUUAAAGUUAGAAGACGGCAAAACAGUUCCUUUUUAUCAUUUCCUGCAACCUUUACUCUAACCUAUGUGCUAUUCAUAAGCAGUAUAUAAUAAUUUAAUAAAUGGUUUAUAAGACAUUACAUGUAAUGGUUAGCAGACAUGUGUUAAUAACGCUUUUUAGGACACUUUCUUAGCACAGCUAAACUACUUACAAUCACAAGAAAUGUGUAUUGAAAAUACUGGACUGUACGCUGCUCUAUGUGUAUGUACUCUGUAACUUUGUA
Long non-coding RNA from Micropterus dolomieu (smallmouth bass), 1476 nucleotides. RefSeq lists it as uncharacterized. The transcript has 6 exons. The record is from RefSeq and is a predicted model, not a curated record. NCBI's taxonomy places the organism in Eukaryota, Metazoa, Chordata, Actinopteri, Centrarchiformes, Centrarchidae.